GCAGUCGAGCGGAUUGAUGGGAGCUUGCUCCCAUCAGUCAGCGGCGGACGGGUGAGUAACACGUGGGUAACCUGCCUGUAAGACUGGGAUAACUCCGGGAAACCGGGGCUAAUACCGGAUAACUCAUUUCCUCGCAUGAGGAAAUGUUGAAAGAUGGCUUCUUGCA
Molecule: ribosomal RNA, 166 nt
Filed under: Bacillus sp. (in: firmicutes)
Lineage: Bacteria; Bacillati; Bacillota; Bacilli; Caryophanales; Bacillaceae
Description: Bacillus sp. (in: Bacteria) partial 16S ribosomal RNA
Rfam family: Bacterial small subunit ribosomal RNA
Source: RNAcentral